This 23-nucleotide non-coding RNA is filed under the name Xenopus tropicalis (tropical clawed frog). Lineage: Eukaryota; Metazoa; Chordata; Amphibia; Anura; Pipidae. The record is from RNAcentral. RNAcentral also lists the same sequence under 2 other names.
CGUUGGUGGUAUAGUGGUGAGCA